Molecule: small nuclear RNA, 193 nt
Organism: Symphalangus syndactylus (siamang)
Lineage: Eukaryota; Metazoa; Chordata; Mammalia; Primates; Hylobatidae
Product: U2 spliceosomal RNA
Source: RefSeq, a predicted model, not a curated record
AUCGCUUCUCGGCCUUUUGGCUAAGAUCAAGUGUACAGAGAGUACAGUACUGAGUACUGCUUGUGUGCCAGGGAUUGUUUCCUGAGGGCUUUCUUUUCUUUCUUUCUUUCUUUUUUUUUUUUUGAGACAGAGUCUUGCUCUGUCACGCAGGCUGGAGUGCCAUGUGGCGUGAUCUUGGCUCACUGCAACCUCC